This 494-nucleotide ribosomal RNA is filed under the name uncultured bacterium. Its description in RNAcentral is "partial 16S ribosomal RNA". It matches the Rfam family "Bacterial small subunit ribosomal RNA", at positions 28 to 507 of the family's 1533-position model. The record is from RNAcentral.
GACGAACGCUGGCGGCGUGCUUAACACAUGCAAGUCGAACGGUGAAGCGCCUUCCUUUUUGGUGGGUGUGGAUGAGUGGCGAACGGGUGAGUAACACGUGAGUAACCUGCCCCCUUCUUCUGGAUAACCGCAUGAAAGUGUGGCUAAUACUGGAUAUUCUGGGUCUGUCGCAUGAUGGGUCUGGGAAAGAUAUUGUUUCGGUGGGGGAUGGGCUCGCGGCCUAUCAGCUUGUUGGUGGGGUGAUGGCCUACCAAGGCGGUGACGGGUAGCCGGCCUGAGAGGGUGGACGGUCACAUUGGGACUGAGACACGGCCCAGACUCCGACGGGAGGCAGCAGUGGGGAAUAUUGCACACUGGGCGUAAGCCUGAUGCAGCGACGCCGCGUGAGGGAUGGAGGCCUUCGGGUUGUGAACCUCUUUCGCCAGUGAAGCAGGCCUGCCUCGUUUGUGGGUGGGUUGAGGGUAGCUGGAUAAGAAGCGCCGGCUAGCUACGUG